AUUGAACGCUGGCGGCAGGCCUAACACAUGCAAGUCGAACGGUAACAGAAAGCAGCUUGCUGCUUUGCUGACGAGUGGCGGACGGGUGAGUAAUGUCUGGGAAACUGCCUGAUGGAGGGGGAUAACUACUGGAAACGGUAGCUAAUACCGCAUAACGUCGCAAGACCAAAGAGGGGGACCUUCGGGCCUCUUGCCAUCGGAUGUGCCCAGAUGGGAUUAGCUAGUAGGUGGGGUAAAGGCUCACCUAGGCGACGAUCCCUAGCUGGUCUGAGAGGAUGACCAGCCACACUGGAACUGAGACACGGUCCAGACUCCUACGGGAGGCAGCAGUGGGGAAUAUUGCACAAUGGGCGCAAGCCUGAUGCAGCCAUGCCGCGUGUAUGAAGAAGGCCUUCGGGUUGUAAAGUACUUUCAGCGGGGAGGAAGGGAGUAAAGUUAAUACCUUUGCUCAUUAACGUUACCCGCAGAAGAAGCACCGGCUAACUCCGUG
RNAcentral lists this ribosomal RNA (490 nucleotides) under uncultured bacterium. RNAcentral describes it as "partial 16S ribosomal RNA". It matches the Rfam family "Bacterial small subunit ribosomal RNA", at positions 30 to 507 of the family's 1533-position model. The record is from RNAcentral.